Delphinapterus leucas (beluga whale) is the source of this 4458-nucleotide non-coding RNA. Lineage: Eukaryota; Metazoa; Chordata; Mammalia; Artiodactyla; Monodontidae. The record is from RefSeq and is a predicted model, not a curated record.
GACGGCGAUGCACAUGAGCAGGCCACACUUGUUCAGGAAGUAGCAGGUGACAUCCACGGCCACCAGCAGCAGGACGAAGGUGACGACGAGGAUGCCCACGAUGGCGCCCGUGCUCAGGCCUGAGGAGCCGCUCCAGAGGAUCCCGACUUUGGACCAUAUCCUUCUUCAUUGCACCAGGAAGACGAAUGAAGCUCACUUACUCUGGAGAUAUGGGGGCCUCGCUAGGCCCAGAGGGCAAGGUGGAAGGUCAGGGAAUACUCACCAUCUGGGAGCCAGGCACGCUUGGAUCAGAUUUCAAGAAACCCAGCCGACUCACCCAGAGAUGCACCCACGCACGACAGGCUCACUCACACAGGACACGUGCCUACCACAGACGGACACACAUUCUCACCUUUGAGCAGCGCCCAGCAUCCCCGCUCUAGCUGGACUCACUGGAAUGACUCAACCUCUGUGUCUUACUCCCUGGUGUCCAUCUAGAAUCCCCUGGGGGCCCUGGGCUAUUGAUGGUAUCACAGAAGGACCCCAGGCUCGGCUCCAUAGGGCCCCCUCGUGAUUGGUGCUAGGCGCCUGCGGUGGACCCCUGACCGCUUGGUGAUUCCCACCAGCAUCUGGCAGGCGGAAGGCUGUGCUGGGGGAAGCAAGGACCCAUGCAGAGCUCUGUGGAAGCCAGUGUGGAAAACAUGACCCCAGGCUGAAAAGUGGGUACCCUGCUUCAUUUUUCUUCUGGGGGGACAGGGUUCCAGAGGGGCAGCCCCAUCGUACCACCAGACCUUGUCUGAAGCUUCCUGUGUCCUCCGGACCCACUUGGGUCACCCAGGUGUGUUGACUGGAGGCAGGAACUGUGGCCAACACAACCUGGGUCUCACUGGGCCUUUGCUGAAUCUGGGCCAGGCCCAGGGGCCUCUGGCCACAUCACGUGCCAAAUAAUGGAAAGAAUAGGUAACCCAAGGUGACAGAGAUGGGCCACACACUCUGUCUCCAUGUGGUUUGUGCUCCUGGGAGGCCCUCUGUGUGUCCCAGGGGCCCUGCUCAGGCGUGGCGGGGCUCCUUCAACUGCUGUCCUAUUCUGAUGGCCCUUAUUUCUAACUUCAAUUCAGUGUAUAGGCCACUGGCCAGCACAUAAGAGACGACCACUCACAACCUAAUUCCUGGCACCCAGGGCUCAGCUGGGCCUGCGCUGGAGGAACCUCCUAGGAUCUUGAAUAUUUUUGCCUCCUUGGGACCUUGCUCUUGCUUCCCAGCCCCUCCUCAGGCUCCCCCACUGGUCCCUUUCAACCCCACACUGAAGACACAGCCUGUUCCCCAGGAAGGCCCGAGUCUGGCAACGGGCUCCAUGCUCAGAGGACCCAGCUCUGACCACUCUGUCUCUGGGCUUUGGCAGCAGGAAACCGGCCACGGGUCCCUGCGGUCAGCUAGAGCCGGUCUUCUCCCCAGUAGCACACCGUCCACUCUGCUCCCCCAUGGCGCUCACACAUCCACACACAAAAGCAAAGAAAGCCACUAAGGCCUUCCUGGUCUUCAGAAUACCAAAGCUGCUUCCCUGAACAGGGAAGAAAUACGGCCUUGGGCUUCCUCCCCAUCCCAUGACUCAGGGCUGGAGGCCACCUGACACCCAUACCCAAUAGUGUCUACUUCCUGCAGAAGGAGCCUAAGGUAUUUUUGUGGGGAAAGAAUGUCUGUAUUUUUGGACUCAAAGGCACUAACACCAUGUUCUGAGGUUUAUACAUAAAUAUGGUUUUAGGGAACUAGUCAGGUCUCUAAGGAAGAAAAGCAAACCACUGCAAAGCUUCUCCGUGUGGGAGAAGCAGCUGUUAUCCACCUGUGCUCUGGGCUCAGCAGACCCAUCAGAGGGCUGCACUGCUCUGAAGGCCAAGGCCAACACCUCCAAGGGCCAGGAGGGCAACGAGACUGAUAUAAAACAGAAGGUAGGGCAAUGGUCUUCUCUCUCAUUUGAUAUAAAAUUCAAAUUCUUUCCCUUGGUCUAAAAGGUAUUACACGUGCUGUGGACUCUCCCACUCCUCUGACCAUCAUAACUCAGGGCACUGAGCCCUGCCUCCAAUCCCUGUGCUCUAGCCGGGAGCAGCUCCAUUCUAUCUGCUCACCACGCCCAGCCCGUUCCUGUCAUAGUGCCUGGAACCCUCCAGCCCCGGCACCCUGUGGUGGCUCUUUGCUUUCUUGCAGGUUCAGCUCAAAUGUCACCUUCUUGCAGAGGUUCCCCCCUCCCCUGCCCCGACCUCUUAUCUACUCAGGCACCUCUACCCAGUACCUACCACAUUACCCUGUUUUAUGCUCCUCUUACCCCUAUCUGUCAUUUUCUGUUCAUUGACAUGCUUUUAUCUGGCUGCCCCGCCCUCUAGAAUAUCCUGGCAGGUACCCUGUCUCUUGUCUCCCCAGCAUCUAGGACAACCCAACUUAUAAGAAAUGUUCAAAGAAUAUUUGUUGAACAAAGGAACAGUGUUCAGCCUUGGAGAUGAGAACACUGUCUCCAAAUAUUUAAAGGUGUGUCAUGAGAAGGAAGCAGCCUUAUUCAGUGUCCCUAGUGGAUGGCAACUAUGGGGGUAGGAGGCAAACUUGAGCUCACGCGAGACAGAACUAACACACAAGAGCUAUUUAAGUGUGGUGUGAGCUGCCUUGGAAGAGCUCCCUGUUGCCAGAGGCAUUCAAGAAGAGGCUGGAAAAUCCCUUGGCCGGGAUACCAUAAUGCUCUGGAUGAGGUUCCUGCACUGGGCAGAGCCUAGGAUAGAGGAUGUCUUCAGGUCCUCUUCAACUCUAAGGGCCUGUCAUUGCAUGUUAGAUGUCCUACAGUCCCCAGCACAGGGUACAGAUUCCCUAAUGUCCAUGUCCUCCACAGGGUGUACCGAGCAGGACUUUUUCCUGCAAGACAAUUGGUAGGUCCCAUCUUUAUUCAUUGAGUCUUAUGAUUUUAUCUUUAGUUGAAAAAUAAAUACCUUUCAGCAUAAUGUUUCUCCACCUGCAGCAGAAUUCCUGGGGUGCUUUGUUAAGAAUUCAGAUUCUGGGGUUCCCCCAUUCUACCAAGUCAGAAUCUCUGGGGCUGAGGCUCAGGCUCAGGAUUUGAUGGAGCACCCCAGCGAUUCUUAUGCACCCCAGACUUUGAGGACCACUGUUUCUAAGUUUUCUGCCUGCAUUACAAUGAAUAACAGCUGUUCCUAUGACUCCCCACCCAAGGAUGAGCUGUGCAGUCUUACCUGGUGGCCCUGACCUAACUGAUGUACUUGAUGGAUGGAGAGAAAAAAGACUUAUCCCCAAGGGACCACCCAGUUCACCAUUAAGAGUCUAGACUUCCAGAGGAAGUGAGGUACCCCUCAAGCUGGAGAAAGGAUGUGUGGAGCUUUUACAAAAAACUGUAAAUAAAGGAAACAGAGAAUGCAAAUGAAAGGGUACCCAAGUCAAGCCAACAUUCAUUACCUCUUGGUGGCUGCUAUAGAAUUGUUUAGUCCAGGAAACCAGAAGGACAAAGGUUAUCUCCUGCAUCCUGCUUAACAUUUGACAAAAGGAAAAGAAAACAACUUUGGGGUCUAUCUUUGCAUGACCCUCCCCUGACCUCUCCUGGCUACCCCAUCUGCACACCUGCAUACAUAGAGUGCUUCUGGGGAGCAGUUCCUCCACAACCUCUGGGCUUAGAGCUGCGCUGAACGGUAGGGCUAUGAAGCUGGGGCUGCACAUCCUCUGUGGUUCCUGGUCUGGGAGGUGUCGGCACUGAACACCUGGCUUGCCCAAGACUGAGACCUACAAGUGCCUAUGCUCAUAAAUGCCUCAAAAUGGGAAGACAUCUCCCAUCUUGCAGUUGAGGGGGCCCAAGUCACUGUGUCACGGGACAUCAGUGCAGAAGUGCCCCCUCCCGCCUCCGACUCUCGGAAAAAUUAAGCUGAGGUUCUGGUUCACUCGUCUGCUUGUUCCUUCCUGGAAUCUGCUGAAUAGACGGCUGGUCUCGGGGCUUUCAGGAGGCAUCCAACUAAGUGUGAUUAUAAACAGAAUAGGGCUUGCCAAUGAGACCUUUCUCUUAGAUUCUCUCUGUCACCACGUCACUCUGUGAAGCCUCGGAUAUGAAGUCGUUACGGGAGCCGUGCAAUCGCGAGAACUUGCAACACAGUUGUGGUUCUGGUGGCCCAGAGUGUGCCCCUGAUCCCAAGGUGACCACCUUCUGGCUCCGCAAAGGCACUUUCCCCUCGCCCUGUCUGCUGGGGAAAGUCCAAGGAGGCGGUGACCCACAGCAGCUCUUAGGAGAGCUGAGAAAACUGCAUCACUCCUCAUGAGGAAGGGAAAGUGAUUCCUUUGACUAGAACUCCACUCAGCAAGCUACGAGUUUGGGGUCCAAUUUAAAGGGCUCUCUGGGGCAAUCAAAGUAAUCCAGGUACCUGUGAGGUGGAGGCAAAGGGAUUUUGGCACUUUGUAGGAUACACAACUAUCAAAUAAAAUCCAAACACGCUGGUGAGUUCA